This 468-nucleotide ribosomal RNA is filed under the name uncultured bacterium. RNAcentral describes it as "partial 16S ribosomal RNA". It matches the Rfam family "Bacterial small subunit ribosomal RNA", at positions 28 to 507 of the family's 1533-position model. The record is from RNAcentral.
GACGAACGCUGGCGGCGUGCUUAACACAUGCAAGUCGAACGGAAAGGCCGUGCUUUUGUGGGGUGCUCGAGUGGCGAACGGGUGAGUAACACGUGAGUAACCUGCCUUUGAGUGUGGGAUAACUUCAGGAAACUGGGGCUAAUACCGGAUAGGAGCUCCUGCUGCAUGGUGGGGGUUGGAAAGUUUCGGCGGUUUGGGUUGGACUUGGGGCUUAUCAGCUUGUUGGUGGGGGAGUGGCGUACGAAGGCUUUGACGGGUAGCCGGCCUGGGAGGGUGACCGGCCACAGUGGGACUGGGAUAGGACCAAGAGGGCAACGGGAGGCAGCGGUGGAGAAUAUGGCACAAUGAGCGGAAGCCUGAUACAGCAACGCCGGGUGCGGGAGGACGGCCUUCGGGUUGUAAACCGCGUUCGCCUGUGACGAAGCGUGAGUGACGGUAAUGGGUAAAGAAGCAACGGCUAACUACGUG